AGUCCGUGGUGUGGGCAUUUCUGAAUUAACGUUUUAAAACGCUCCCAUGCUUCAUGAAAACUUUCCCCCUCUAGUAGUUUGAACAUCAAAAUUUCCCUUCUUAGUUG
This is a non-coding RNA of Gossypium hirsutum (cotton), 107 nucleotides long. Lineage: Eukaryota; Viridiplantae; Streptophyta; Magnoliopsida; Malvales; Malvaceae. The record is from Rfam.